RNAcentral lists this ribosomal RNA (315 nucleotides) under uncultured eukaryote. Its description in RNAcentral is "partial 18S ribosomal RNA". It matches the Rfam family "Eukaryotic small subunit ribosomal RNA", at positions 1470 to 1796 of the family's 1831-position model. The record is from RNAcentral.
CCCCUAGAUGUUCUGGGCCGCACGCGCGCUACACUGAACAGUGCAACAAGCAUCCGUCCUUGGCCGACAGGCCCGGGCAAUCUUUGAACGCUGGUCGUGAUGGGGAUAGACUUUUGCAAUUUUUGGUCUUCAACGAGGAAUUCCUAGUAAACGCAAGUCAUCAACUUGCAUUGAUUACGUCCCUGCCCUUUGUACACACCGCCCGUCGCACCUACCGAUUGAAUGGUCCGGUGAAGCCUCCGGAUUGGCGCGCACCUCGGUGCCGCCGAGAAGUUGGCUAAACCUUACCAUUUAGAGGAAGGUGAANUCGUAACA